RNAcentral lists this ribosomal RNA (700 nucleotides) under uncultured bacterium. RNAcentral describes it as "bacterial SSU rRNA". It matches the Rfam family "Bacterial small subunit ribosomal RNA", at positions 8 to 701 of the family's 1533-position model. The record is from RNAcentral.
AGAGUUUGAUCAUGGCUCAGAUUGAACGCUGGCGGCAUGCCUUACACAUGCAAGUCGAACGGCAGCACGGGUGCUUGCACCUGGUGGCGAGUGGCGAACGGGUGAGUAAUACAUCGGAAUGUACCUUGUAGUGGGGGAUAGCUCGGCGAAAGCCGGAUUAAUACCGCAUACGCUCUGAGGAGGAAAGCGGGGGACCUUCGGGCCUCGCGCUACAAGAGCAGCCGAUGUCAGAUUAGCUUGUUGGUGAGGUAAAAGCUCACCAAGGCGACGAUCUGUAGCUGGUCUGAGAGGACGACCAGCCACACUGGGACUGAGACACGGCCCAGACUCCUACGGGAGGCAGCAGUGGGGAAUUUUGGACAAUGGGCGAAAGCCUGAUCCAGCAAUGCCGCGUGUGUGAAGAAGGCCUUCGGGUUGUAAAGCACUUUUGUCCGGAAAGAAAUCCUUUGGGUUAAUACCUCGGGGGGAUGACGGUACCGGAAGAAUAAGCACCGGCUAACUACGUGCCAGCAGCCGCGGUAAUACGUAGGGUGCAAGCGUUAAUCGGAAUUACUGGGCGUAAAGCGUGCGCAGGCGGUUUUGUAAGACGGAUGUGAAAUCCCCGGGCUUAACCUGGGAACUGCAUUCGUGACUGCAAGGCUAGAGUAUGUCAGAGGGGGGUAGAAUUCCACGUGUAGCAGUGAAAUGCGUAGAGAUGUGG